This 460-nucleotide ribosomal RNA is filed under the name uncultured bacterium. RNAcentral describes it as "partial 16S ribosomal RNA". It matches the Rfam family "Bacterial small subunit ribosomal RNA", at positions 338 to 795 of the family's 1533-position model. The record is from RNAcentral.
CCUACGGGAGGCAGCAGUGAGGAAUAUUGGUCAAUGGACGAGAGUCUGAACCAGCCAAGUAGCGUGAAGGAUGACUGCCCUAUGGGUUGUAAACUUCUUUUAUAUGGGAAUAAAACGUUCCACGUGUGGGAUUUUGUAUGUACCAUAUGAAUAAGGAUCGGCUAACUCCGUGCCAGCAGCCGCGGUAAGACGGAGGAUCCGAGCGUUAUCCGGAUUUAUUGGGUUUAAAGGGAGCGUAGGUGGAUUGUUAAGUCAGUUGUGAAAGUUUGCGGCUCAACCGUAAAAUUGCAGUUGAAACUGGCAGUCUUGAGUACAGUAGAGGUGGGCGGAAUUCGUGGUGUAGCGGUGAAAUGCUUAGAUAUCACGAAGAACUCCGAUUGCGAAGGCAGUUCACUGGACUGCAACUGACACUGAGGCUCGAAAGUGUGGGUAUCAAACAGGAUUAGAUACCCUAGUAGUC